RNAcentral lists this long non-coding RNA (742 nucleotides) under Cricetulus griseus (Chinese hamster). RNAcentral describes it as "lncRNA (ENSCGRG00015031733.1)". The record is from RNAcentral. Lineage: Eukaryota; Metazoa; Chordata; Mammalia; Rodentia; Cricetidae.
UUGUGUUUCCACAGAAAAUCAAAAGCUGUGGAUUCCUUCCAGACUAAUAUGGUUUGAUCAAGCAAGACCCCCUGAAGCUGAGAUGACACAGCCUUUCACACUACAAAAACAAGGACGUGGUCAGAUGCCAGGUGUGGACAUUCAAAAGUCAAAUCCUUGAGAUCAAAGAAACAAAGUUUGAUCCUGUUGAAAUGUUCAGCCACAACUCACUCAUAUGACUAGAGAUUUUAUGCUUCAUGAGACAAAUAAUAUGAAUAGUCUUUUGUAGCCGCAGUCCAAUUAAAGAUUGAAGUGGCUUUGGAGUUGGAAUGUGGCUCUCUCCUCUAAACCCAAGCAUACUUAUUUAUGAUUCCACCAGGACUAUGAUACUACCCCUAAGCUGAACAACACCAACUAAAGAUUGGCUUUGGACAAUCUCAAGGAUACCCUAAAGAUGUCAUUUCACCCAAACAGCAGCAAGCAAUUUAUGAAUACAGUGCCCACAUUCUGAAGAAGUGGGGUGGGUUUUUGAUCCUUUGUUGGGAUAGUAUAUGUGUCAUUGUUUAGGGGGAUUGGUUACAACUGGUUACAAGUUUAUUGCAUGGGAAUCAAGAUUCACUAGACUCAGUAUAGGUUAGGUGAAGGCUAUUUGGGGAGAAUGCACUUACACAAGAGGCAGGUGAGCACCACAGUUUCCAGCUCCAAUGAUCCACCCAGGCUAUUCUCCAUGACCCUACCUGAGGAGUGGAUGGGGAUGGGAUGG